RNA transcript from Nyctereutes procyonoides (raccoon dog), 8546 nucleotides. It is a transcript of the gene named formin binding protein 1, with no coding region annotated. The transcript is spliced from 17 exons. NCBI's taxonomy places the organism in Eukaryota, Metazoa, Chordata, Mammalia, Carnivora, Canidae. The record is from RefSeq and is a predicted model, not a curated record.
GCUAGAGGAGGCGGCGGCCGCGCGCGCACCGGGCUUUCCUCGAUCGCGGGGAUCUCCAGGGGCGAAGGGAUCGCCGGGGAGGGGGACCGGAGAGCCGCGCCUGCCGCGCGGCGCGCCCCUUUCCGCCCCCUGCACCAUGAGCUGGGGCACCGAGCUCUGGGAUCAAUUUGACAACUUAGAAAAACACACACAGUGGGGAAUUGACAUUCUUGAGAAAUACAUCAAAUUUGUAAAGGAGAGGACAGAGAUCGAACUCAGCUAUGCAAAGCAACUCAGGAACCUCGCAAAGAAAUACCAGCCUAAGAAGAACUCAAAGGAGGAAGAAGAAUACAGGUAUACGGCGUGCAAAGCCUUCCUUUCCACCCUGAACGAAAUGAAUGAUUAUGCUGGGCAGCAUGAAGUUAUCUCUGAGAACAUGACCUCAAACAUCACUGUGGAGUUAGCCCGCUACGUCCAGGAACUGAAGCAGGAGAGGAAAUCGUACUUUCAUGAUGGGCGGAAAGCACAACAGCACAUAGAGAUCUGCUGGAAGCAACUUGAAUCAAGUAAAAGACGAUUUGAACGUGACUGCAAAGAGGCGGACAGGGCACAGCAGUACUUUGAGAAGAUGGACGCUGACAUCAAUGUAACCAAAGCAGAUGUUGAAAAGGCGCGACAACAAGCUCAAGUACGUCACCAAAUGGCAGAGGACAGCAAAGCAGAUUACUCAUCAAUUCUCCAGAAAUUCAACCAUGAGCAGCACGAAUAUUACCACACUCACAUCCCCAACAUAUUUCAGAAAAUACAGGAGAUGGAAGAACGGAGGAUAGUGCGGAUCGGAGAAUCAAUGAAGACCUACGCGGAGGUUGAUCGGCAAGUGAUUCCGAUCAUUGGGAAAUGCUUGGAUGAAAUAGUAAAGGCAGCUGAAUCAAUCGAUCAGAAGAACGAUUCGCAGCUGGUAAUAGAAGCUUAUAAGUCCGGAUUUGAACCUCCCGGGGACAUUGAAUUUGAGGAUUACACUCAGCCCAUGAAGCGCACUGUGUCGGAUAACAGCCUUUCGAAUUCCAGAGAAGGCAAAUCAGAGCUCAAAUUUGGUGGCAAAUCCAAAGGAAAGUUAUGGCCAUUCAUCAAGAAAAAUAAGCUUAUGUCCCUUUUAACAUCCCCCCAUCAGCCUCCCCCUCCUCCCCCUGCCUCUGCCUCACCCUCUGCUGUUCCCAACGGCCCCCAGUCUCCCAAGCAGCAAAAGGAACCCCUCUCCCAUCGCUUCAACGAGUUCAUGACCUCCAAACCCAAAAUGCACUGCUUCAGGAGUUUAAAGCGUGGGCUUUCUCUCAAGCUGGGCGCCACACCGGAGGAUUUCAGCAACCUCCCACCUGAGCAGAGAAGGAAAAAGCUGCAGCAGAAAGUCGAUGAAUUAAAUAAAGAAAUUCAAAAGGAGAUGGAUCAAAGAGAUGCCAUAACAAAAAUGAAAGAUGUUUACCUAAAGAAUCCUCAGAUGGGAGACCCAGGCAGUUUGGAUCACAAAUUAGCAGAAGUCAGCCAAAAUAUAGAAAAACUGCGGCUAGAAGCCCAGAAAUUUGAGGCCUGGCUGGCUGAGGUGGAAGGCAGGCUGCCACCGCGCAGUGAGCAGGGCCGCCGGCAGAGUGGAAUGUUCGACGCCCAGAACCCGGCCACUGUCAACAGCUGUGCUCAGGACCGUGAGAGCAGCCCGGAUGGCAGUUACACGGAGGAGCAGAGUCAGGAGGGUGAGGUGAAGGUGCUGGCCACGGACUUCGAUGACGAGUUUGAUGAGGAGGAGCCCCUGCCCGCCAUCGGGACUUGCAAAGCCCUCUACACGUUCGAAGGUCAGAACGAAGGGACCGUCUCCGUCGUGGAAGGAGAAACACUGUACGUGAUAGAGGAAGACAAAGGUGACGGAUGGACCCGCAUCCGGAGAAAUGAAGAUGAAGAGGGUUAUGUCCCUACUUCGUACGUCGAAGUCUAUUUGGACAAAAAUGCCAAAGGUGCUAAGACUUAUAUUUAAUACCACUUAAAAAAAAACAAAACACAAAAACUGUAAAAAAAAAAAAAAAUGGAGUUGUCUCUCCUUACCACUAGGACUGUUAUAGGCAGUUCUUCCAAAGCCUGGAUGGAGGACACCGGAGUGCAUGUUGUCACAUGGCCACACGGUGGACUUGUAGGCAUCCAUUGAACACCCGAAUUUCCUUGGCUAGUUUUGACUAUAAUCAUGUUUCUCUUGCUCAUGAAAUAUGAUGUGGAAAGCUGCCAACUGCCAAUUUACGGUUCUGUCAUUUGAAAUCUGAUAAACAUUUCGUACUUUGGCAGUAUCUGUAGGUAUCCAAAAAAAGUUGCCUUUAGCUUCUAAUUGGUAUCUCUGGAUUUAAAAGGUCCACACACAUCAGAGGGGCGGGUAAGACUUUGGUUCUCAUAUCUCUAGCAAGCAUCUGCCAUAAUCUGCCAUAAAUUGAACCACCUGAGAAUGUUACAUUUGGUAACUUAACACAUUGAACUACUCUAGGUUUUGGGUUGUUUUGUUUUGUUUUGUUUGUUUUUUAACUACCCUAGUUUGUUUAAUCUUACAGUCACUUGCUUUGGAGGAAGUCGUAAAUAAAACCUUCCCCCCCUGCUUGAAAGAAUAAGAUGAUUCCUAUUUUGGUACUGGAAGUGUAUAGUUUUCCUUAAACGUGUUUAAGAUCAUUGGUAGAUCGUUGUGAUCAUUCUAUCACAUCUGCAUGAUCCCAAACAACUGGUUGCAAUCCGGAGAAGCCUGGUUAACAAUGAACUAGUUGACUUUUUUUUACUUAAGACCACGUAAAAAAAAAAAAAAAAAGGCCACUGAGCUCCCCUCUGCCAUUGACAGGGUUGAUCAGAUUCCCUGGUACUGUUUCGAGAACUUACAAAAAAACCUAGCAUGCUUCUGUUGGAGGUUUGGUGGCAAGUGGAGCUGUAUUCAGCUCACACGUCCCCAGGUGGGGCUGUAAAAAGAAUCUGGUGCAGCAGCUGCUUCGACACGCAGACCCCAGUUCAUCACUUCUCAGAAGUGUUUUGGGUUUGUUAGGUUGUUUGUUUGUUUGUUUGUUUGUUUGUUUGUUUGUUUUAAUCGUGGUAUCUUUAAGACCCAACAUGAAUUCACUGAAAGUCAUUUUAGAAUUGCUAGCUCAUUUUAUAUAAUUAAUCAUUGCCAGACUAAAAUAAAGUAUUUCACCACCUUGAAAGGAAUCUGGGUCACGUGGGGAUGUGCAUUUUUUAAAUUGGCAAGAUUGGUAGUGAAGUCGGUCACAUGCGUAGAUGGGUACCAAGCCCAAUGAUUGUGCCCACUCCAGGAAUCUACCCUGAGAUCGCAGAGAACCAGCUAUGAAUGGCUCACAGUAAAGGUGUCAGGCUCAGAUUUUCUUUUUAUUUGGUUUUGAGAAUUACUUAUUCAUGUCCUUCCUACUUUGAAAUAGAAAAUUAGCUCCUUGCUUUUACAUUGUGAGUCCCUUUUAUAAACUCAAGUCAAUUUAAAGCUGACUUUACCCACUCCUCCCAAAAAAAAGCUGAUUUAUGAAGCAGCAGCAGCUCAUCAGGAGUCUGACACCUGGCGGGAGUUAAAGGUGCUUGUUUGGAUUCUAGCAGAAAGGUCACUACAUGUCCCAAGGACCGCCAGAAAUGGAAUUUAGUAAAUUUUAAUGACAGCCUGAUUUUUUUUAAGAUUUUAUUUAUUUAUCCAUAGACACACAGAGAGAGGCAGAGACACAGGCAGAGGGAGAAGCAGGCUCCACGCAGGGAGCCCGAUGUGGGACUCGAUCCCAGGUCUCCAGGAUCACACCCCGGGCUGCAGGCGGCACCAAACCGCUGCGCCACCGGGGCUGCCCGACAGCCUGAUUUUUAACACACGUUUUACUUUUAAAAAUAAUGAUAGAAAGUUGCAAAGACAGCAAAACCCGAUCGAUCCCUGUGCCCUUCAGCCAGGGUCCUCCAGCGGGGGCUUCUGACAUAACUGUAGUAUAAUACCAAAAGCAGGAAACAGACGUGGGUCAGCCUGCUUUUUGAAAUAUAAUUUCAUGAUUCAGAUUUCUUUUGCCUUAUUCUACCUUUACUGACAUAACAUUGAUAAAGCCAUUCACCCUGGACCCCAGACCUCUCAGGAAAAUCAUUUCUGUUCCCCCUUUUAAAUAUUUGCAGCAAGUAACUCAGCUGACCCUGAAACCACAGGGAUUCCUCUUCAGGAGCAGGGGGCGGUCACAGCACUAGGCAUGGACCCAAGCGAAUGGGGGACCUAAGAUAUUAAAAUCAGAGCUUUCUGUCCAGUGAUGGACUCAGCUCCAGCCUAUGAACUGCAGCAGGAAGCAAACCAAACAGUGAAAAAGCCUUAAAACGGCCAAGACAACAUGAGCCUUUUGAAGCCUCCCUUGGAAAGUAUGGCGUCCGUGACGUUGUUGUGCUUUUACUUUAUUUUUUUUUCCUUAACAAUUGCACCAAUUUGAUUCAGAAAAUGGAUCGGUUGGUUUGUGGGAGCUGGGGGUCGGGUUUGGGCACAUAAGUUAACAUUCAUGAUUUUAAGUUGUGUGCCCCAAGCCUUAGCAGAGACAGCUCAGGGUAGGGACAGAACAGUAAAAGACACUUCACAGCCCAGUGCCAGCCGGUCAGUGCACCCCAAGUAUUCGAAGAAGUCCUGAAACCAUUCCCAAAGAAUCAGAAUCCCCAUUUCUGCCCACCGUAUACUUUGGUUUUCUUUCCUAAAUUUUAUUUCUGAUAAAAUGAAAGAAGCCAAGUCUCAGCUUGUUAAGAAAGUUUUCUCCUUUUGAGACACAUUUAGAGGGGACUAGUGUAUGUGUAGAAGCCUGUCCUCCCCACCUGGUUUUCAAUCUGCUUGGCACCCCCAAGAACACUGUCCCCUCAAACCCAUCCCAGCCCGUGGGGCUGCUGCUUCCCAACGCCCAGAACUCCAAGCAGCUAUUCUGUGCUUGUGCACUUGUGUGUGUGCGUGUGUGUGUGUGUGUUAUCUACGAUGUGACUAUUUAAUAAUUGCCAAAAUAUUUAGACUAGAGGAACGUCCAAUGGGUCAGUUGGUUUGUGACUAUCUUCCUUUAUGAUUUUGGUUUUGUUUUUAAAAUUGUUUUCUUGUUAAAUACGUUCCGUAAUCCCCAGCCCUCAGCCACUCCCCCUCCAGAUAUUUGUACAUACUGCCAUUUAAAAACUAAAAGAUGACUUGAAUUCAUUGUUUUAACGUUUGACUCUUUUAUCUGUUUGUUUUAUUGGUGAUUCUCCUGCCUAAUGACCUUUUUCGUUUUUGUAACCACUGGGGAAGCCGGGAGGACUAGGUCCCCGGCCGGCAGCUCCGCGCUUGAGUUUAUUGUAGACACUUGUGUUCUGAAUUCCUAGAGGCGGCUGCGGAGCCGGAGCCUCGGUGAGCCUUCCCAGGAGAAACCCUUCGGUCUGCUUGUCUCCACAGGCCUGGGCGCCCGCGCGCGCGCAGACUGCUCCCCGGCUGGGCCAGCCGGUGGCCCUGCGACAUCUCAGCCUGAAGCGACAUCCCUCCUAACCUGCCCCUGCCACGCGGCUGCUUGCCUUUUUCAUUCCUUUCUUUUGACAGCAUGCUUCUCGUGGCCCAGCUCCUCCUCCCGUGGCCCAGCCCAGCCACCUCUCCGGGAGCAGGUCUGUCCCGUGUCCUCAUCCCUGUCCCCAGCGUGCGUGUGGGGCCACGGAAGACAGCUAGACACGUGCUCCCUCCUUCCCGGGCCCCUGCCUUGGCCCUUGGUCUACCUGGAGCAUCCUGGCCCAUCCAUGGUUCACACUGUGCCUUUCGUGAAAACUUCGCCACUGGCCUCCCCCUGGGGAGACCGACAGAAUCUGGACAAGGAGGGUCAGGUGUGCUCAGGUGGACUGAGCACCUGAGUGUCAUAGAUGUAUCCCGAGUCCGUUGACCAUUCAGUGAUCCUUUUCUGGUUAUGGGUCCUCACCUUGUACUAGACGACAUUUCAUGGCCUGAGAUUGAUUGUCCAUGGGGGGUCCUGGGGCAGGCACACACAUGCACACACAUGCACACAUGCAUCCCCCUCUGGCUUGCACUCAAGCUCACUCACAUUCACGCACACACUCUCACACACACACACACACACACACACACAGGCAUUUUUAUUUGGGGCCUGCGCUCUGGCUUGGAGAAGUCUCCACUCAAAAUCCAAUUCCAUCUCGAGGGCCACACACAGAAGCUUGUGUCCACCUUCCGUGGGGUCCAGGGAGGACCUAGCCCACCUUCUCCCUGUCAUUGCCCCAUCAAUGAGAAUGAUAGAUCGUGGCACUUUAUAAACAAGCAUCACAGCUCGGCGUUAGCUCGUCACAAGGUGACAAUUCCCAUCUUCCCAUGAAUUCCGAGAUUUGCAUCUUAAAUUUUAAUGCUUUCCUCACCAAAGAGCCUGUGCUACGUGUGGUCCUUCGGGUGAUCUGUGGCGACAGCUUCUGCAUAUGCUCACGUGCCCCGCAGGCCCCAGAGACAGGAUCGAGUUGGCUUUUUGACCUAAGUUUCCUUCUUCUUAUGGAUCCUUGAGGAAAACAUGAGGCCAUGUAGCUCAUGGCCACUCAUGCCUUAGAGCAGCAGUAGCUUCCCUUCUUCUCUGGUGCAGAUACAGUCGAGAGAAAUCAUUGGCUGUGCAUUUCUGUGAAUGAGGCACCAUCCGAAGCCCAAGAAGGAAAUCGGGCCUCUUUCUUCUCUCGUUUGGCUUUUGGUAACUGGGUGGUCAGUUCGAACAUCCUCAAUUCUUCUUGACUUUUAUGAGUCUAAGACAAGGCUGUCUUAUAGGAGCCGAAGGGACCAGGGCAGAAAUGACAGGUGCUAAGGGCUGGGCCUGUGUUCAGUGGCCCCCAAAGAGUGGUUCCUCUCAGCAAACCAGGGUUGAUCACACCCCACCCUCUGAGAGCAGCUCAGUGACUAGAAGCCUCCAGCCAGCAAAUGCCUGGGGUAAAGCAGGUAAAGAGGAAGUGGCUUUGGGUUUGAGCCGAGCCAGCCAGCAUGAGCCCCUCCUCUUCUGUCUCUUUCUGUCUCUGUCUCUGUUCGUCUCUUGCCCUGAAGGGGGGCUAGGCCCUUGGGUUGAAGACUACCAGCCUCCCUGCCGGAGCAGCAUACACCAUGGGUGUCUCGGGGCUGCUACAUGGGCAACAGUGCCCCUUCCCCAUGGCGGUGGCCCACCUGUAGCGAGCCACCCCCCACCCCAUCUCGUGAGAGGGCUGGCUUGGCCGAUGCCCUAGAAGCCGGGCCUCCCAUGCAUCCCUGCAAAACCCACAGGCGUGUGGUUAGGAUGGGCAGUCCUGGCGGCCCCACAAAGGGCUCCUCCUCCAGCGGGUGGGUGGAUGGUCAGGAAUCUCCAGGGCCUUCUGAAUCUCACCACCCCAAGCUGGCCACUCUCCUCCGCUCCACAAGGAUGCUAAAUGGUCUUUUUAUAAAAUUGAUUUUAGAGCCUCGGUAAUGCAUGUGCGUUGCAUCUUUCAUAUUCUGGGUCAGGAUAGAUUAAUUUCUCGCAAUGUAGAGAAAAUGGUAUAAGCUGCAGUGAUUUGUUCUUUUAAUGUCUGUUCAGCCCACUAUAGAAUAUGCUCGUAUCUUGUAACCCCUGUGCAACCUCCCCCUCCAUUUUUUUUCCUUCUGUACCACCUGUGUCCAGAAGAGAAUGGAUCAUAAGCGCUUCUCAGUGUUAACCUGGGUGUUUGCCUCCCAGCCAGUCUGUACAGCUGCAUGGGAAGGGCAAUGCUGCAAACCCAAGCUCAUUACAGGAGAUAAGUUAUUAUAGGAUAGUUGAACUGUAUCAUUUACUCUGGGAAUCCUCCUGGGAACUCAUCUAUAUAUGAGUAUGGACCAGUUCACGUAGAGUAGAGACGGGGAACUUUCCCAUCUGCUUCUCAGCUCCCCCCUCACCCCCCCCAUGCCUGUCGUGUCUACGCCCAUGCUAGAAUAGUGUUGUUUUUAAGAAUGACUAAGUUUUAAAGCACCUGCCCUGAACAUGACCUGAAAACAAAAUGAAAGAGAGGAACUUGUCAUUUACCCAGUUUUUCCUUUGCAAGAUAAAAAAGCAUGGAAAGCUGUAAUGGGAUUUUCCUUUUGGUUUUUAUCGUACUCACCUCCGGGCUCAGGCCAGAUAAGCUGAGGCUUACUUAUCUCGCUAGCCACAGCAGAGGCCCCUCAUGCCUUCUGGUGACAUCUGUAACUGCAGGAGAAAGUUUACUGAACAUGAAAAAGUUACAUUGAUGCUAAGUAUUUUUCCAGAAAUCUUAGUUUCAUACUUCCUCAUGCCUCUGCCUCCCAUGCUUGUAUCGUCACAACACUUCUUUAAAGAGUGAUCCAAAAUUCUAUUUUAAUCUGAUGUUGAGCACCUUUAAACUUUCUGGUUUAUUUGUGUGUGUGGCACUAAUCCUAAACUUUGAAGGCAUUUCAGUGUUGUCACGGCCCAUUGCCAUUGUGAAGUUUCUGGAACUGCCCAUUUGUCUCUGGAGAUGGAAUUAAACCAAAUAAAGUGCUUCCAUUGGAAGGCUUAUAUAUUGACCUUGUAACUAUAUGUUAAUCCUCUAAAUGUUAAAUAAAAGUAUAAUCUCUGUUA